This 148-nucleotide non-coding RNA is filed under the name Gorilla gorilla gorilla (western lowland gorilla). Lineage: Eukaryota; Metazoa; Chordata; Mammalia; Primates; Hominidae. The record is from Rfam by way of RNAcentral.
GCUGGGUGUGGUGGCGUGUGCCUGUAAUCCCAGCUACUCGGGAGGCUGAGACAGGAGAAUUGCUUGAGCCUGGGAGGUGGAGGUUGCAGUGAGCCGAGAUUGCACCAUUGAACUCCAGCCUGGGCAACAGAGCAAGACUCCGUCUCAA